UACGUAGGGGGCAAGCGUUGUCCGGAUUUAUUGGGCGUAAAGAGCGUGUAGGCGGCCGUACAGGUCAGCUGUGAAAACUCGAGGCUCAACCUCGAGACGUCGGUUGAAACCGUACGGCUAGAGUCCGGAAGAGGAGAGUGGAAGUUCCCGGUGUAGCGGUGAAAUGCGCAGAUAUCGGGAAGAACACCCGUGGCGAAGGCGGCUCUCUGGGACGGUACUGACGCGUGAGACGCGAAAGCGUGGGGAGCGAACAGG
This 255-nucleotide ribosomal RNA is filed under the name uncultured bacterium. Its description in RNAcentral is "partial 16S ribosomal RNA". It matches the Rfam family "Bacterial small subunit ribosomal RNA", at positions 524 to 776 of the family's 1533-position model. The record is from RNAcentral.